Molecule: ribosomal RNA, 1598 nt
Filed under: human oral metagenome
Description: bacterial LSU rRNA
Rfam family: Bacterial large subunit ribosomal RNA
Source: RNAcentral
AGGGUUCCUGAGCAACGAUCGUCGUCUCAGGGUAAGUCGGGACCUAAGCCGAGGCGGAAAAGCGUAGGCGAUGGACAACAGGUUGAAAUUCCUGUACCGGUGUGAAUCGUUUGAUCGAUGGAGUGACACAGUAAGGUAGGUCAGCACGCGAUUGGAAGUGCGUGUUUAAGCAUGUAGGUUGAGCUAUAGGCAAAUCCGUAGCUCUAAAAGCUGAGAUGUGAUGACGAGUUACUAGCGAUAGUAACGAAGUGAUUGAUCCUACACUGUCGAGAAAAGCUUCUAGGUAGAGACACAUCGCCCGUACCAAAACCGACACAGGUAGGCGGGGAGAGAAUCCUAAGGUGCGCGGGAAAACCCUCGUUAAGGAACUCGGCAAAAUGCCUCCGUAACUUCGGGAAAAGGAGGACUCAUGUAGUGUGAAGGGCAGUAACGCGUGGAGCAUGAAUGAGUGGCACAAGAGAGGCGCAAGCGACUGUUUACCACAAACACAGGUGCCUGCUAAAGCGAAAGCUGAUGUAUAGGUGCUGACACCUGCCCGGUGCUGGAAGGUUAAGAGGAGGGGUUAGACUUCGGUCGAAGCUCUGAAUUGAAGCCCCAGUAAACGGCGGCCGUAACUAUAACGGUCCUAAGGUAGCGAAAUUCCUUGUCGGGUAAGUUCCGACCCGCACGAAAGGUGUAACGACUUGCGCACUGUCUCAACGAGGGACCCGGUGAAAUUGAAGUACCUGUGAAGAUGCAGGUUACCCGCGACUGGACAGAAAGACCCCAUGGAGCUUUACUGCAACCUAAGAUUGAACUUAGUUAAUGAAUGUACAGGAUAGGUGGGAGACGUAGAACCUAGGACGCCAGUUUUAGGGGAGUCGCUGUUGGGAUACCACCCUUUCAUUAAUUGAUUUCUAACGGGCCGAGUAACGACCGGCCGGACAGUCUUAGGCGGGCAGUUUGACUGGGGCGGUCGCCUCCUAAAGAGUAACGGAGGCGCCCAAAGGUUCCCUCAGAGCGGACGGAAAUCGCUCGAAGAGUGUAAAGGCAGAAGGGAGCUUGACUGCGAGACGGACAGGUCGAGCAGGGACGAAAGUCGGGCUUAGUGAUCCGGUGGUGCCGAGUGGAAGGGCCAUCGCUCAACGGAUAAAAGCUACCCUGGGGAUAACAGGCUAAUCUCUCCCAAGAGUCCAUAUCGACGGGGAGGUUUGGCACCUCGAUGUCGGCUCAUCACAUCCUGGGGCUGAAGUAGGUCCCAAGGGUUCGGCUGUUCGCCGAUUAAAGUGGUACGUGAGCUGGGUUCAGAACGUCGUGAGACAGUUCGGUCCCUAUCCAUCGCGGGCGCAAGAAACUUGAAGGGGGCUGCUCCUAGUACGAGAGGACCGGAGUGGACGAACCGCUGGUGUACCAAUUAUCCUGCCAAGGGUACAGUUGGGUAGCUACGUUCGGGACGGAUAAACGCUGAAAGCAUCUAAGCGUGAAACCAGCCUUGAGAUGAGGUUUCUCAUAGCAUAAGCUAGUAAGAUCCCAUGUAGACGACAUGGUUGAUAGGCCAGGUGUGGAAGAGCCGUGAGGUUUGGAGCUGACUGGUACUAAUAGAUCGAGGGCUUUACUUA